Molecule: long non-coding RNA, 516 nt
Organism: Prunus persica (peach)
Lineage: Eukaryota; Viridiplantae; Streptophyta; Magnoliopsida; Rosales; Rosaceae
Exons: 2
Source: RefSeq, a predicted model, not a curated record
CUCUCAGCUUGACUCCUAUAUUCAUGCAUUGUCAACAGAUUGCUCUCCUCUUAAAACUAACUUUAGCAUCGGAGGGUCUUCGGCCGAUACCACACCGGUGCCACGCCACCUUUAAGUUGCUCUUAUCUCUAUCUGUUUAGUUUUAGUUUAGUUUUAGCGCCAACAAUUUCCAAUAUUAAAGGUUGAGAGGUACAAAAACAAAGAAAUCUCUGGAGUUGAAGCUGAAAGGAGAGAUUCUAGUGAAUCCAAAGAUCUCGGCCAUGGGGAUAUUAUUUUGUGUUUGUGGUGGAGAUAUUAUUGGGUUAACUACGUUCCUUUUUAUUCGGAUUUUGAAUUUUUUUUUGCUAUGUCUGCGAAUUUGGAAAUUAGGGAUUUGUGUGUGUGAAUUUGUGGAAAUUUUCCCUGUAAUGACGUGUUAUCGAUCUUUGAGUUUUAGGGUAUGUGCUGCUUAUAUAUCCAACUAGUUAUCCUGUACAUUGGUUCGGAUUAAUAUGCAUCUGGGUUUGUGAGAUUUAA